RNAcentral lists this ribosomal RNA (460 nucleotides) under uncultured bacterium. Its description in RNAcentral is "partial 16S ribosomal RNA". It matches the Rfam family "Bacterial small subunit ribosomal RNA", at positions 338 to 795 of the family's 1533-position model. The record is from RNAcentral.
CCUACGGGGGGCAGCAGUGAGGAAUAUUGGUCAAUGGACGAGAGCCUGAACCAGCCAAGUAGCGUGAAGGAUGACUGCCCUAUGGGUUGUAAACUUCUUUUAUAUGGGAAUAAAAUGUUCCACGUGUGGGGUUUUGUAUGUACCAUAUGAAUAAGGAACGGCUAACUCCGUGCCAGCAGCCGCGGUAAUACCGAGGAUUCGAGCGUUAUCCGGAUUUAAUGGGUUUAAAGGGAGCGUAGGUGGAUUGGUAAGUCAGUUGUGAAAGUUUGGGGCUCAACCGUAAAAUUGCAGUUGAAACUGGCAGUCUUGAGUACAGUAGAGGUGGGCGGAAUGCGUGGUGUAGCGGUGAAAUGCUUAGAUAUCACGAAGAACUCCGAUUGCGAAGGCAGUUCACUGGACUGCAACUGACGCUGAGGCUCGAAAGUGUGGGUAUCAAACAGGAUUAGAUACCCGGGUAGUC